RNAcentral lists this ribosomal RNA (264 nucleotides) under uncultured bacterium. Its description in RNAcentral is "partial 16S ribosomal RNA". It matches the Rfam family "Bacterial small subunit ribosomal RNA", at positions 94 to 354 of the family's 1533-position model. The record is from RNAcentral.
CCGCGCGCNCGAGGUGNUAACGCGUAUGCAACCUGCCCGUUUCAGCGGGAUAACCCGGAGAAAUCCGGCCUAAUACCGCAUGUGGCCGAGGGGAGGCAUCUUCUUUCGGCCAAAGGAGGCGACUCCGGAGACGGAUGGGCAUGCGUGACAUUAGCUUGUUGGCGGGGUAACGGCCCACCAAGGCGACGAUGUCUAGGGGUUCUGAGAGGAAGGUCCCCCACACUGGUACUGAGACACGGACCAGACUCCUACGGGAGGCAGCAG